AAGAGGAUCAAACAGGUUUAAAGCUUCAGGAGUGUUGAUUUGGCAUGAAAAAUGCACCAUAGAUAAUGGUAAGAAUUACCGUUAUCAACAACCCCAAACUUGAAACUUUGCUUGUCCUCAAGCAAAAAGGGCAAACAAGGCUUAGACAAACAGUUCAAUUUCAAUGAAUCAACAUUCAAGAUAGUCAAGAAUUAUUCGAACUUGCUCUUCAUGGUAAAAUCACUCUUGAGAAGAUGAGCCUUUGACAAAGAGAAUUGCAACCAUGGUGCUCACAGAACAAUAAUCACAAGAAAUAUGUCAGGUUUUAAAAGGGGUCAACAAACAUGGCAAAAGUGUUCUCAACAUUAACAUGAACCAUCUCCUCACCAAGGAAACUGUUUCUCUCAAGCACACUGGUGUAUAGGGAUGCGUGUUUCUCACUCUUAGCAACACAAAAGUCACACAAUUCAACUUUGCCUUUCAUUUCUACCAUAAUGAAAACAUUUACCUGCGAGUUGGCAUCACAAGGACUUUCAAGGCUAGUAAUUUGGUUGGGCUAAGAAAGAAAAAUUGGUUUUUCUGGACAACAAAGCACCUUGAGCUAAGGAAGCAUUCAAUUCAGCACAAUUCAACAAUUCCACUUCUUAACCUCAAGAACUUGCAACCAAUUUUCAAUUCUUUUUCCAACUUUUCAUCCAAUGAUUCUUUUUCUUGAUCUUGUUCCUUUUUCUUCUUUUUCUUCAAAUUUUUCUUUUUCUUUUCUUGUCAAUUUUUUUUUUUUGUAGCAUCAACCACCCCAAACUUAAACGUUUUCCUCUACCAAAAUGAAUGCUUCACUUCUCUCAAGGUAAAGAGGUUAAAGUUUGCAAUGUUGGUCACCAGGCUCAAGAAUGGGUUCACUGUCUCUUCCAAGUUCGCAGUGUUAAGG
This 907-nucleotide long non-coding RNA is filed under the name Vigna radiata. RNAcentral describes it as "long non-coding RNA (VRAD_LNC002021)". Lineage: Eukaryota; Viridiplantae; Streptophyta; Magnoliopsida; Fabales; Fabaceae. The record is from RNAcentral.